This 676-nucleotide ribosomal RNA is filed under the name uncultured Micromonospora sp. Its description in RNAcentral is "bacterial SSU rRNA". It matches the Rfam family "Bacterial small subunit ribosomal RNA", at positions 63 to 758 of the family's 1533-position model. Lineage: Bacteria; Bacillati; Actinomycetota; Actinomycetes; Micromonosporales; Micromonosporaceae. The record is from RNAcentral.
CGAGCGGAAGGCCCUUCGGGGUACUCGAGCGGCGAACGGGUGAGUAACACGUGAGCAACCUGCCCCAAGCUUUGGGAUAACCCUCGGAAACGGGGGCUAAUACCGAAUAUUACUUCUGGCCGCAUGGCUGGUGGUGGAAAGUUUUUCGGCUUGGGAUGGGCUCGCGGCCUAUCAGCUUGUUGGUGGGGUGAUGGCCUACCAAGGCGACGACGGGUAGCCGGCCUGAGAGGGCGACCGGCCACACUGGGACUGAGACACGGCCCAGACUCCUACGGGAGGCAGCAGUGGGGAAUAUUGCACAAUGGGCGGAAGCCUGAUGCAGCGACGCCGCGUGAGGGAUGACGGCCUUCGGGUUGUAAACCUCUUUCAGCAGGGACGAAGCGAGAGUGACGGUACCUGCAGAAGAAGCACCGGCCAACUACGUGCCAGCAGCCGCGGUAAGACGUAGGGUGCGAGCGUUGUCCGGAUUUAUUGGGCGUAAAGAGCUCGUAGGCGGCUUGUCGCGUCGACCGUGAAAACUUGGGGCUCAACCCCAAGCCUGCGGUCGAUACGGGCAGGCUAGAGUUCGGUAGGGGAGACUGGAAUUCCUGGUGUAGCGGUGAAAUGCGCAGAUAUCAGGAGGAACACCGGUGGCGAAGGCGGGUCUCUGGGCCGAUACUGACGCUGAGGAGCGAAA